GAAGCCCGCCAGACCGUCGCUGGUGCAAUCGCCGAAAGGCCGCACUGGAGGAACGUCCGGACUGCACAGGGCAGCGUAGGAGGUAAUACCUCUCCACCGCGAGGUGAGGAUCAGAGCAACAGAGACGAGUCCCCGGGCCGCAAGGCACGGGGGGUGAAACGGGCAAUCUCUACGCGCAGCAAUACCAAAUAGGCCAGCGUUGAUGUGGCUCCGCGGAGCUGGCGGGUAGGUAGCACCGAGCCGGUGGGCGAUCACCGGCCCAGAGGAAUGGCGGUCACGUCCGGGCCUUCGCAAGAGGGUCCGGUCGCCACAGAAUCCGGCUUAUCGGCGGACUUCACAC
RNAcentral lists this RNase P RNA (340 nucleotides) under Ramlibacter sp. RNAcentral describes it as "RNase P RNA component class A". It matches the Rfam family "Bacterial RNase P class A". From Rfam's summary of the family: Ribonuclease P (RNase P) is a ubiquitous endoribonuclease, found in archaea, bacteria and eukarya as well as chloroplasts and mitochondria. Its best characterised activity is the generation of mature 5'-ends of tRNAs by cleaving the 5'-leader elements of precursor-tRNAs. The record is from RNAcentral. Lineage: Bacteria; Pseudomonadati; Pseudomonadota; Betaproteobacteria; Burkholderiales; Comamonadaceae.